UGUCCCCGGCCCGUGGACCACGACCCGCCACGCCCCCAACUGCGGGCCACGCCCCAUCCAGUGGCCCCGUCCAGACUCCGCCCACCUCAGGCCCUACCUCGUCAAGGCCCCGCCCCGUGCUUCCGUCCCUCUGCAGGUCCAGGAGAACAUGCUCUACGUUAUCACUGGUCCUAGACUGGGGACGAUGUGGAGACCCACAGACUGAAGCAGAGCUGUUCCAGCCACUUGCAGACCUCACAUACAGCCACCUGCACAUGUGGAGCUUGGUCUGGGAGGCUGCCUGCUCCCCCUUCGAGCCUGGGUGGCAUGUGUCCAGGUGCCACCCCUAAGCGGAAGAGCCUUUCCUGGGGUGGUGUGCAGAUGGCCACAAGGGAGGCAAGGUGGCCCAGGGAGGAAGAGAGAAGCCCAGGAGAAGCCAGCUCAGGAUACCUCUUGGACAUGGCAUGAGAGCGCGCUGUCUUUGGCAUGUUCCGCAGGAGAAAUCCAUCAGAGGAAGUGAGAGUGAAGGUGCUACAAAGCCACAAAACUAACCAGAAACCAAAGGUGUAAAUGAACACCAAGAUGGCAGCUCCAGGCACAUGUGUCAAAAUCAUCUUUCCCAAAUUGAGAUAGAAGGCAGGACUCAACUCUGGACCAGACUGAAGACUAGCUAAAACAGUGAAGAGGGGAAUGCACCUCUCCAUAAGACAUGCCCAGAGGGCCAUGUCAGUUUACCAUUGCCAUGGCAACACCCAGAACUUACCGCCCCUUUCCACGGCGACAACCAGUAAGUACCACCCUUUUUCUAGAAAAUUCUGAAUAACUCACCUCUUAAUUUGCAGGUAAUCAAAAGUGGGUAUAAAUCUUACUGCAGGGCUUCCUCUGAGCUGCUACUCUCAGCACACUGCCCACAGGGUAGCCCUGGUCUGCAUGAGGAGUCAUGGAGUGUAACAUUACUGCUUCCAUAAGCUGUUUUCUUCUACC
Molecule: long non-coding RNA, 963 nt
Filed under: Homo sapiens (human)
Lineage: Eukaryota; Metazoa; Chordata; Mammalia; Primates; Hominidae
Description: HSALNT0126114
Source: RNAcentral